Molecule: ribosomal RNA, 427 nt
Filed under: uncultured bacterium
Lineage: Bacteria
Description: partial 16S ribosomal RNA
Rfam family: Bacterial small subunit ribosomal RNA
Source: RNAcentral
UGGGGAAUAUUGCACAAUGGGCGCAAGCCUGAUGCAGCCAUGCCGCGUGUAUGAAGAAGGCCUUCGGGUUGUAAAGUACUUUCAGCGAGGAGGAAGGCGGUAAGGUUAAUAACCUUAUCGAUUGACGUUACUCGCAGAAGAAGCACCGGCUAACUCCGUGCCAGCAGCCGCGGUAAUACGGAGGGUGCAAGCGUUAAUCGGAAUUACUGGGCGGAAAGCGCACGCAGGCGGUCUGUCAAGUCGGAUGUGAAAUCCCCAGGCUCAACCUGGGAACUGCAUUCGAAACUGGCAGGCUAGAGUCUUGUAGAGGGGGGUAGAAUUCCAGGUGUAGCGGUGAAAUGCGUAGAGAUCUGGAGGAAUACCGGUGGCGAAGGCGGCCCCCUGGACAAAGACUGACGCUCAGGUGCGAAAGCGUGGGGAGCAAACA